AAGAUGGAGGAGCAUGGGAAACUGAAAAGUGCUUGGAUGUAGAUGGACAGGAUAAAAUAGAGAAACAGGAAUAUUGGUAAACUAUUUUAAAAGUUUGAAACCUGAGUAUUUCUAACCUUCCACGCAGUGAUAGAACGCAUAGGAGUGCGCAUGCGCAUAUGAGGUCUUAGGACGUAGGUGUACGCUCCCAAGUAUGGAAUAAAAUAGACAAAGCGAGUAAAUGCACCUGCUAAAUGUUGUUCCUUAGAAAGUGGUAAGGAAGGAAAUGUAAAGAGUUUCUGGAUGCGAUACGAGGCUACCUGAGAAGGGACAAAUCCUUGGUGCCGCGUGUGAUUAAGUUCUUUUCACAGAGUCACGGAACCCGAAUCAAACGAAAGAAAAGAAAAAAAAAGAAGAGAAGAGUAAGAGAGAGAGAGAGAAAGCAAGAUCGAGACGUAGCAAAGAAAGAUGCAGGGCUUGGGUUCCUCGGGAGAGGUAUUGUGCACAUUCUCCGAGACAAAAGCAGAGGGCACGGUGCGGUGUGGGACAGGGUAUCGGGUGAUGGUUGGCCAGACCUGGCCUGACGAUGGUUAGGCCGGGAUGAGAAGCAGAGGGCAAAAGGGAAACGCACAGACAUUCAUCGCGGUGCAGGGCGCUCCAGGGCGGGCAAGUAAACGGAUUCGCCUGAAUGUAGGAAACUACCUGAAUACCUUCGUCAGCCCUCUCUCUUGUCCCGACCGUUCCGUCUUUCUAAACUAUCGUACACACGAAUAUGAAUCUCAUUUCUUCUUUUUUUUGCACCAGCCAAGAUAUUCUGUAAAUUCCUUAGUAAACGUAGACAUUGAAAUUCCUUGGCAAUUUGGGAUGCAGAAACCUUUUGGGUUGUUAGUGACUAUGGCGUCAUUCUAGUAUGAUACUUAAGGGUUAAAUCCCAGGGACCAAAACCGACAUUUAGUUCUGUCAUUCAGAAUCAAAAAGGUUGGACAGUGUAUAGCGGUAUCAGGCUUCUCGGAACGAACUCAAUACCGAGAGUUUUCGAGGUUGUUUGAAAAGGGACAAUCUAGAAGGAUGCCUUGAGGGAUAAAGGGGCGUGGUAGCGCAGGACAAGGAAAAAAAUGUAUAAAAAAAGCUGUCUAUGUAAAAAUCUUUGGUUGAAAAUCUGAAAACUGUGCAACAAGUUUAAUAUUAAA
This is a long non-coding RNA of Osmia lignaria (orchard mason bee), 1169 nucleotides long. RefSeq lists it as uncharacterized. The record is from RefSeq and is a predicted model, not a curated record. NCBI's taxonomy places the organism in Eukaryota, Metazoa, Arthropoda, Insecta, Hymenoptera, Megachilidae.